GUUUUUUCUUGCAUGAGCUGUUGCACCUCUAGUUUGUUCUAUUGUGUCCUGGACAGUGAGGGGAAUUGAAGUAUUUUGUAGUUCAUGAUUUUCUGGUUUAAUAUGCAAAUCACUUAUACAUAUAUAUUUCACUUGUUCAAAUGUGGUAAUUAUCUUGGUUAAUAUGCACAGUGUCUCCUGUUUCACUCACUAACUUUGUAGUGUUUGAUUUGAUAUGUAUAGCAGAGAAGUGAAUGUAUGACGGUGAUGUCGAUUGUUGGCUGCCGGUGUGAACCAACAAAUAUGCCGAGACAACAGGCAGUUGAUGGAAGCAUCCAAGUUGAGCCAGGUGCAUUCACAUCACCUUAUCUUGUGCAGGCUAUGGAAAAAUACUUGGCUGUUCUUGCUGCUUUGAAAUCUAAUAUCUAACAGUCUUAAGAAGGGAAGAUUACGUAGAGAGCUACUUGGUGCUACCAUCAAAAUCAGCCUUGACGUGAUAGUUACCACAGGAGGACCCACAGGAAGAACAUGAAUAAUAGCCUCAAUAGCUUAUAUGUUAUGUUGAGUAAAAUGGGUUGUACUGGUUCCUAACCUUGCUGUGUGAUAUAUUGUCCAUCUAUGCUUGUAAGUUAUCACUUCAUAGAAGGAUUUUGUAAACUGCUAUGUUGUAUUUACAUAUGGAUGGCUGCAAACUGGAUCAACUGUGCAAUGUUCU
Molecule: non-coding RNA, 694 nt
Organism: Triticum urartu
Lineage: Eukaryota; Viridiplantae; Streptophyta; Magnoliopsida; Poales; Poaceae
Source: RefSeq, a predicted model, not a curated record